Long non-coding RNA from Bos taurus (domestic cattle), 415 nucleotides. The record is from Ensembl. Lineage: Eukaryota; Metazoa; Chordata; Mammalia; Artiodactyla; Bovidae.
AUGCUCUAGAGCUGCAUCAUCCAGGAGAAACAGAGUGUGAGCCAUGAAUGGGGACCAGAGGUACAAUUUCAGACUUUCUAGGAGCCACGUUAAAAAGUUAAAAAGAAACAGCAAGAUCUGGUGUAUAUUUUGCACUCAGAGCACAUCUCAAUUCGGACUGGCCACAAGUGCUCAAUUCAGACAGGUCACAUAUGGCUAGUGACUGUGGUGCUGGACUGGCUAAAGGGACCAUUGACCCGGAAUCUGACCAAGCAGAUCCUGGGAGCUGCCAACUACUGAAGCCCACAUGCCCCAGAGCCCACGCUCUACAAAAAGAGAAGCCACUGCAGUGAGAAGCCUGCAUUCAACUAGAGAGCAGACCCCACUCACCAAAGCUAAAGACAAGCCCAAGCAGCAACAGAGACCCCACUCAGCC